RNAcentral lists this transfer RNA (3123 nucleotides) under Sus scrofa (pig). Its description in RNAcentral is "lncRNA (ENSSSCG00060068219.1)". The record is from RNAcentral. Lineage: Eukaryota; Metazoa; Chordata; Mammalia; Artiodactyla; Suidae.
GUGCCCAUGGCAUGCAGAAGUUCCCAGGCCAGGGAUCGAACCCGAGCCACAGCAGUGACAAUGCUGAAUCCUUAACCCAUUAGGCCACCAGGGAACUCCUGCUUUUGCUUUUGAAUGAAAUUUCCUUUUGUAAUUUUGGGGAAAAAAAAAACUUAAGAAAACAAUAAAUAAAUAAAUAAAACUUUUCAACAGGAAUGCUGUCAUUCACAAAAUAUUUCCAAAUAUUUAUUCUCAUAACAAUCGGAGAAGUAAAAGGGGAGGUGGGGGCUAAUGCCUGCCAUUUUCUACAGAAAGACAGACAUGCUGAUGUGUCCUAGGUCCCUAGUCUGGUGUAAAGAGUAAGUGCUGAACUCAGACUUCAGGACUCACACUGUGCUCUUCAGCCAAUCACAGAGAGCGGGGCUGCUCUGAAAGGGAAGAUGGUCCAGACGCCCAGGAGAGGAGAGGCAAAGCUGCCCAGGCACUGGCGCUGAAGGCCAGCAAAGCAGCUGGAAACAGCGUUCUGUCUCCGAGCAGCAUCAUGCUCCAGGCACUUGCCAGUCCCCACAGGGACCACAAGAGUUGUGCUGAUUCCCUCACCCUACCCAUCUGCUUUGGUCUCACUCUCUUUCUUUGGCUUUGGGACCCUCAGAUGCUUUUUCUCCACACCUGCCUGGUCCUGUGCAUCUUGUGUCCCUUCCCUUUCCCCAACAGUUCAAGUCAGGGCCUCCAAAAUGCUCCCCGAGGGGCAUCGUGUGAAUACAGAAUCCUGCCUCAGGGCUGAGGCACAUUCUCCCCCAGGGAGGCCAAAGGACCAGCAAUCACAUCCCCCUGAAGAGUCAGGACAGCUCCACAGGCAGGUCCCACUACUUGAGCAGCGCUGUCUGAAGAAAGCAUCUCAGUCUCCUUCCUGAAAGCCCACCCCCGCACCCCUCCCAUCACCUCCUGGAACCACAGCGGGGGCAGGGGCGAGUGCACAAGCGCAGAGGGUGACUUUGCCAGUGCCACGGAUGGGAAGGCGACCACGGACACGCACUUAGGAAGGAUUUUUUUGCUCAGGGACGACUAGUGGGCAAGUCUGCCUGAAGCCAGAGCCGCCUUGAGGCGUCUUCUCCUUCCCAGUUUUGAUCCAGGAAGGUCAAAGUCACCACUGGACCCUCACUGCCUUCCUACCUCGCCAAAAGCACAUCUUGAAUGACAGUCCACAGAGGCACACAGCAUAGGGACCAUUUUGGUUCUGAAAGGCAAAGUGACUCCAGGCUUCAAGCUUCAGGAGAGAAGGAAUGUGCGGGGAGUGAGUCACCUACAAGGCCACCCCCUUACACAGAAGAGGCCAGGCUGGACCAGGGAAGACCUUCCUUCCUCAUCACCUGAAGGUUGGUCCUUUCUUCAGGUCACAUCAUAACUCAGGGUUUCAGCCUUUUCCUUACGGCGCUCUGUUCCUGAGACGUUUAAGAGCUCGUCUUAUUUCUCCUCCAUCAAUCUGCUAUUCCUGAGGCUUUGGAGAAUCUACUUUUCUAGGAAUCUAUGGAUUCCUAGAUCCAUAGCAAUUAAAGGAAGAUUAAAAUCAUUCAGACACCACCCUUUUGCCAAGGUAGCAACAAUGAAGGGGAAGGAAAUAAACAGAAAGGCAGAGAGCAGGAGGAGUUGCUCUGUAGGUCUGACCUUUGAGAUCAGCCUUGUGCCCCGGAGCCUGAGGAGCUUAAACAAAGCUGCCUGCUUCUUUCUUCCCUUCCUUCCUCCUUCCCGCUUCCCUCCCAGCACCCACUUUUCUCCCCCAUCCAUCCCUCUUUCUUUCUCUCUUUCCUCUCUCUUCCUUUCUUUCAAGAAAGACUCCAGCAUCCCAGGGCACUGACAGCCAACUCUCAAAAGCCUGGACAGGGGAUAAAAUGGGGCUGGAAGCCCCCAGAUCUCUUCCUUAGACUCCCCUCCUCACCUUCCUCUGGGGAAGACGCCAGGAAACACGUGCCCUGGCCCAGGGUCCCCUCUAGCCACCACCAGCCUCAUUUCCUGUGCACAAGAGGCCCCUGCUGGAAGAAGCUGAACUUUGCACAAUCACCCAACAGCUGGCAUGCCUCUUGCUACUCGACUUUUUUGCGUCAAUAUAAAAGAAAAGAAAGAAAAGAAAGAAAAGAAAGAAAAGAAAGAAAAGAAAGAAAAGAAAGAAAAGAAAGAAAAGAAAGAAAAGAAAGAAAAGAAAGAAAAGAAAGAAAAGAAAGAAAAGAAAGAAAAGAAAGAAAAGAAAGAAAAGAAAGAAAAGAAAGAAAAGAAAGAAAAGAAAGAAAAGAAAGAAAAGAAAGAAAAGAAAGAAAAGAAAGAAAAGAAAGAAAAGAAAGAAAAGAAAGAAAAGAAAGAAAAGAAAGAAAAGAAAGAAAAGAAAGAAAAGAAAGAAAAGAAAGAAAAGAAAGAAAAGAAAGAAAAGAAAGAAAAGAAAGAAAGAAAGAAAGAAAGAAAGAAAGAAAGAAAGAAAGAGAAAGAAACUUCUUUCACUUACAGACUGAAUGGUUCUUCUCCAGUUCAGGUCACAGAUGCCUGAUGAUUAUUUUCCCUUGAUAGAGAAGAUUUAAAUUGUUUUUUCUUUUGAUAAGGAAAACAUAAGACCCCUAGGCCUAAUCAUUCUAGCCACAGCCAACCACAUUCUUUUUUUUCCCCCCACACUUGAGACGUGGCUAUUUCCAGGCCAGAGAUUGAAUCCGAGUUGUAGAUGUGACUUACGCUAUAGGAGAAGCAACACCAGAUCCUUAACCCACUGUGCCAGGCUGGGGAUCAAACUUGUGCUUCUGCAGCCACCCAAGCCACUACAGUUGGAUCCUUAACCCACUGCACCACAGUGGGAACUCUGCCAACCAUAUUCUUUAAAAAUCAUAAGCCAGCAUUUAUGACUCACUUAUCCAAGGCAUUGCACACCCUUUAAUCCUCCCAAAUCUGCAAGAUAGUAAUUACCACGAACCUCGUCUUAAAGGAAACCGAGGCUUAGACAUUAAGGGAUUUGUCCCAGUUCAGUAUGUGCUGAGGCCACACUUGCACAUUGGAGGUUCAGUAUCAGAGCAAGGGUCCACAUGGGCCCCUCCGAGGCCCAGCUACAUUUCACCUCCAAGCUCACACUCUGUCCACUAGAUUAUUAAAAAAAAAAAAAAAAAAAAA